GCGCCGGCCCCAGCCAAUGGCGGUGUUGCGGUGCGCCGGGACAGCCCCGCGCCGGCACCGCGGUCCUGGCGGGGGCUCCGGAGCCCCAUAGUUCCCUUCCCCGCUGCUGCCGAGAAGCACGGCGGCACUACCGCGACCCGCACCGCGCCCGCCCGGCGGUGCCGCGGCGCCCCGGUGCAGGAGCAGCCCCGCCGGGGAGCGCCGGCCGCUGCCAGCCCGGCUGCUAACGGCGGCGGCCCAGGGCAGCCGCGGCUCCCAUCCCGCCUGCCGCGCCCGGUACGGAGCCAGGCGCGCAGCCAGGGCGCCCGUGAUGGGCGACAAGGGCGGGUGCACCCGCGGCAGCGAGGGAAGGGCUCUUCCCCGCGAGUCCCGAUCACGGUUCACAGCAAGCACCGUCCCCGGGGCUCGACGGGGCAGCAGGAAUCUCAGUCCACACACGGUGUUUGGGUCUUCUGAAACUUGGCGAGGUUCGCUGACAGAAGCGCCACCGCAGGCACCGGCCCGUGACUUACCCGGACACCGCGCGCAGAAAGCGCUCUUCUGGUUUUCAUCACUCGCACCUAAGCAGAGUAGAAAGGAAUGCAGCUCUUACCAUCCAAAUGCACUUCCAUAAAGAGACAAAGUGUUAUUAGCUUGAGAAUUCGUGGUAAAAAACUAUUAAAAGCUGAGGACUGAUUUAGCAAUACACUGAAACUCCCAGAUGUCCUCUAAAGUACUCGGCAGCUCCAUGCUAUUGCCUCCCCAUAUUGUCUAUUUUGCUCUCUUUGCCAAACACUCAGGAGAUAAUUUGCGCGUUGUUGCUCAACCCCCUCUCAACCAACCAGUAACACUGUAUCUGCCAAAAUAAAGUCUAGUACAUGGAAAGCAACUGCGUCUGGGGAAUAUGGGUUGAAAGGCAAGCCAAACACAUUCGGAUAAACAUUCAGGUAUGGUUGAAGUUCCUCAGAAGUAUAAAUUACUUGGAAUUAUUUGGGGGGAAAAAAACCAAACCAAACCAAACCAACAACCAAAAAAAAAAAAAA
RNAcentral lists this long non-coding RNA (1022 nucleotides) under Strigops habroptila (Kakapo). RNAcentral's name for it is "lncRNA (ENSSHBG00005020085.1)". Lineage: Eukaryota; Metazoa; Chordata; Aves; Psittaciformes; Psittacidae. The record is from RNAcentral.